AGAGUUUGAUCCUGGCUCAGAACGAACGCUGGCGGCGUGGAUUAGGCAUGCAAGUCGAGCGGGAUCCGCGUGUUCCAAUUCUUCGGAAGAGGGGCAUGUGGUGAGAGCGGCGAACGGGUGAGUAAUGCGUAAACAACUUGCCUCCAAGUCGGGGAUAGCCCAUCGAAAGAUGGAUUAAUACCGGAUGUGAUCCCCCUUCGCAUGAAGGGGUAUUUGAAGAUGGGGACCUUCGGGCCUGUCGCUUGGAGAUAGGUUUACGUUCUAUCAGCUAGUUGGUGAGGUAACGGCUCACCAAGGCUACGACGGAUAGCCGGCCUGAGAGGGUGAUCGGCCACACUGGGACUGAGACACUGCCCAGACUCCUACGGGAGGCUGCAGUCGAGGAUCAUUCACAAUGCACGAAAGUGUGAUGAUGCGACGCCGCGUGGAGGAUGAAGGCCUUCGGGUCGUAAACUCCUGUCAGGAGGGAGUAAAGCUUCGGGGUCAACACCCCCGGGGUCUGAUAGUACCUCCAGAGGAAGCCACGGCUAACUCUGUGCCAGCAGCCGCGGUAAUACAGAGGUGGCGAGCGUUGUUCGGAUUUACUGGGCGUAAAGGGUGCGUAGGCGGUUUCGUGUGUCGGGUGUGAAAUGUCACGGCUCAACCGUGAAGGGUCAUC
RNAcentral lists this ribosomal RNA (658 nucleotides) under uncultured bacterium. RNAcentral's name for it is "bacterial SSU rRNA". It matches the Rfam family "Bacterial small subunit ribosomal RNA", at positions 8 to 627 of the family's 1533-position model. The record is from RNAcentral.